This 227-nucleotide ribosomal RNA is filed under the name uncultured bacterium. RNAcentral's name for it is "partial 16S ribosomal RNA". It matches the Rfam family "Bacterial small subunit ribosomal RNA", at positions 524 to 748 of the family's 1533-position model. The record is from RNAcentral.
UACGUAGGGCGCAAGCGUUAUCCGGAAUUAUUGGGCGUAAAGAGCUCGUAGGCGGUUUGUCGCGUCUGCUGUGAAAACCCGAGGCUCAACCUCGGGCCUGCAGUGGGUACGGGCAGACUAGAGUGCGGUAGGGGGAGAUUGGAAUUCCUGGUGUAGCGGUGGAAUGCGCAGAUAUCAGGAGGAACACCAAUGGCGAAGGCGCCACUCUGGGCCGAAACUGACGCGUG